Molecule: ribosomal RNA, 487 nt
Filed under: uncultured bacterium
Lineage: Bacteria
Description: bacterial SSU rRNA
Rfam family: Bacterial small subunit ribosomal RNA
Source: RNAcentral
GAUGAACGCUAGCGGCAGGCUUAACACAUGCAAGUCGAGGGGUAUAGUUCUUCGGAAUUAGAGACCGGCGCACGGGUGCGUAACGCGUAUGCAAUCUACCUUUCACAGAGGGAUAGCCCCAGAGAAAUUUGGAUUAAUACCUCAUAGUAUAGCAGUUUCGCAUGAAACCACUAUUAAAGUCACAACGGUGAAAGAUGAGCAUGCGUCCCAUUAGCUAGUUGGUAAGGUAACGGCUUACCAAGGCAACGAUGGGUAGGGGUCCUGAGAGGGAGAUCCCCCACACUGGUACUGAGACACGGACCAGACUCCUACGGGAGGCAGCAGUGAGGAAUAUUGGACAAUGGGCGGCAAGCCUGAUCCAGCCAUGCCGCGUGCAGGAUGACGGUCCUAUGGAUUGUAAACUGCUUUUUAUACAGGAAGAAACACUACUUCGUGAAGUAGCUUGACGGUACUGUAAGAAUAAGGAUCGGCUAACUCCGUGCCAGCA